Molecule: long non-coding RNA, 3477 nt
Organism: Scylla paramamosain (green mud crab)
Lineage: Eukaryota; Metazoa; Arthropoda; Malacostraca; Decapoda; Portunidae
Exons: 4
Source: RefSeq, a predicted model, not a curated record
UCUGGAUGAUUAUUUCAGACAAUACUCUCUAGGCCAGUGUUUCUCAACCUGUGCGCCGCGGCGCACUUGUGCGCCGCGGGGAUCACAUAGGUGCGCCGCGAGUACUCGGACACGUCCUGUACCCGUCCAUCAGAGCUGCAGUCAGCUGGCAUUCCUGAGUUGCCAUAUCACUUGUCUUAUUUUACUUAUUUACACGUUCAUGUGAAAAAUUUUAGAUGUGUGUACAAACUGAGCAUAUGCAUACCAGUUGGUUGUAUACAAGAUGGAAUAUAUGAUGUGAUUUGCGUGAACCUUUAGUAACAAUUAAUAUGGCAACAUAUAACGAGAACAUUGGGUAGGCAGCUCCAGGGCCAGGACCAAGGGGUCUCGUGCUACAGUUGACUCCCCGUAACGCGUAGUGCCGUACUGCAUUCGUUGCUCAACGAGGCUUAAAAAUGGAGAAAUACCUCAUAAAAAAGCGUAAAUGUGCUGAAGAAAAAGAAGAAGAAGUUGCAGAGGACAUUAUUAAGUCAAAGCGUACAUGUGUCGAAGGCACUGAUGGUGACGUAACAGUAAAACCUGGUGAAAAUGAGACGUCUCGUCCAGGCCAUAUCGUGGAAAGUGAAGAAAAUGAAGUGAGAGUUGAAAGUGAGUACAGCUGUGCGGGUCCGAGCAGAAAAAGUGAUAUGACGGGCUUGAGAUCAGUUAAAACAAUGACAGGUACCAGCAAAAGUAGCCGCAGCAAGUCAUUUCGCAUGUAUAACGACAGUUACCUUGGACUUGGAUUCACUUGCUGUGAUAGCGAAAAUGGCCCUAAACAAAAAUGUGUUGUUUGUGGCUUGGAGUUAUCAAAUGAAUCUAUGACUCCACAGAAAAUGAAGAGACAUUUAUCAACUAAGCAUCGUCACCUGACACAGAAACCUAUAGAUUACUUUAAGAGACUCUUGAAAGAAAACAAACAACAAAGUCUUGGGUUUGAGAAAAAAGUGAAGGUAGCAGAAAAAGGCACAGAAAGCAAGCUAUUUAGUAGCAGAACAAACAGUAAAACAAAUGAAACCCCAUUCAAUUGCAGAAUCCUAUUUUCUUCCAGCUUGCUGUUCUGUAGUGAAAACUUUGUUUGGGGAUGAGGCUGAAAAAGAAGUGAAAAAAAUUCCUCUCUCAAACGAUACGAUUGGCAGACGAAUCAAGGAUGUGUCAUCUGACAUUGACAAAAGUGUGUGUGAACUGGUGAAAGAUAAAAUGUUUGCCUUACAAGCGGACGAAUCAACAGAUAUUGGAGGGAAACCUCAGUUACUUGUGUUCAUCCGUUUCAUUGAUGAUAAGAAAAUAACCGAGCAAUUCUUGUGCUGCAAAGAACUAAGUCAAACAACAGGACAGGAAAUAUUUUCUACAGUGACAGAAUAUUUGGUAGAAAUGGACUUAACAUGGAAAUUAUGUGUAGGAAUUUGCACAGAUGGUUGUCCAUCAAUGGUGGGGUCAGUAAAGGGUUUUGUGUCUUUAGUGAAGAAGGAAAAUCCAUUUCUGAUUACCACACAUUGUUUCUUGCACCGUGAAGCUCUUGUUGCUAAAACACUUGGACAAGAUUUAAAAUUUGUUCUUGAUAAUGUCGUGAAAAUGGUGAACUUUAUUAAAAGUAGACCAAAGCAGUCAAGAUUAUUUUCCAGUCUUUGUGAAGAAAUGGGAUCUGCCCACGAAGGUCUUCUCCUCCACACGGAAGUUCGGUGGUUGUCAAGAGGCAGAGUGUUAUCCCGUGUGCAUGAACUAAGAGAGGAAAUUCUUCUUUUCUUUGCUCUUGAAGAGAAAACAGAAUUCUGCGAAUUACUGGCUGACGAAAUUUGGAAUGCAAAAUUAUGUUAUUUGGCAGAUAUAUUUGAGCAUUUGAACAAGGUGAAUGUAAGUAUGCAAGGGAGAAAUGAAAAUAUGUUAACAUGCACUGAUAAAAUGCAGUCAAUGAAAGAAAAACUCAAGGUUUGGAAAGACAGGUCAAGUGAAGGUAAUAUUGACAUGUUUCAAAAGACUGCUGCAGCAAACAACACAGACAUUGUUCCACUCAUUACAGACCACCUUACAAGCCUAGAAAGGAGCAUUGAAAAAUACUUCCCAAAUAUAUCUACUGAAAGUUAUGAUUGGCUGAGAAAUCCAUUCGUGCUCGAUCCCUUACACAAGCCUCAACUUAGCACUCAUGAAGAAGAGGAACUAAUUGAUAUCCGAAAUGACCGCACAUUAAGACUGCAAUAUAUGGAAAUGUCAUUAGAAAGCUUUUGGAUUGAAAUGGAAAAACAAUACCCACAUAUUUCAAAAAAGGCCCAGAAAAUACUCUUGCAGUUUUCGACCUCAUAUUUGUGUGAACUGGGAUUUUCAGCACUAACAAAUAUAAAAACUAAGAAAAGAUGUAACUUGCUCUCUGUUGAAGAGGAAAUGAGAGUGUGUCUGUCAGCUGUCCCUCCCAACAUAGAGAGGAUAUGUAAAUCCAGGCAGGCACAGGUGUCUCAUUGAUAAGACGACGCCGUGACCCCCGCAGCCUCCCCUGACGGUCCCACAGGUCACGGAAAAUCGUUCACUUAUUUCCUGUGGUCAGAAUGAAGUGGAGCAUUUUUUAGCGGAGUAAAGAAUGGCUGCUCUGGUCUCCAUGGCUACGACUCGACCUGAACGUCCCGCCUGACCACCUGACCGCAAGCUGCCUUUCGCCUCGCUACUCCCGCCACAGCCACUGCCAUUAACAUAUUCACGUCCACCAUCGAUUGCUGCAACUUGAGGUGAAAAAAAAGUACUGAUCCCCGGGCGUCUGUGUGUCUGUCUCGCCGAAAAGCCUGGAUGCAUUCACCUGGCGUCUUCUUAACUGGAUGAGAGAAGUCAGAGAAGUCCCAUAAGUCAGGCUGGAAAAACGAUGCAGCUGCCUGCGUUCCACGUGUAACCAGCAAGAAACCUUAGUCUGACCUGCAGUGACUGUCCUGAGGCUUCGUAAGGCUGGCUGUGGUAACCCUGAAUUAAAUGAGGACGGAACGAGCAGGACGGAGCGAGCAAAGAAAAAAAAAAUAGAAAACGAGAAGAAAAGUGAAAUAAGGAGAAAACAAGAGAAGAAAAAAUAAAAAAGAACAAAGGAAAACGAAAUAAGAAAAAGAGAAGGAAAACGAAAUAAGAAAAGAAGAGAAAACGAAAGAAGAAAGCAAGAGAAGAAUAACGAAGAAAGAAAAAAAAACGAAAUAAAAAAAAUUAGAGAAGGAAAAGGAAACCAAACAACAACAGAAACACUGCAACAACUCGGUCAAGACACAGCUGGUCGCCAAGGAGAAGGCAAGACAAAGACAAAAAAGGAAUGAAAACACACCUACGCAAAAAGCAUCUCCUUUCCUCACUACAGACUGCAAUUCCACAACUGAGUCCCCGUGGAUUAAUUUCAUACAUGUGGAUUGAUACCGGCUAAACGUGACCUUCCAUGAGGCUGUUCACUAAUCCCGUUCAGUGUUGAGAAAAAAAAUAUAUGUGAUGGGGAUUAUU